AUUGAACGCUGGCGGCAGGCCUAACACAUGCAAGUCGAGCGAGCGGCGGACGGGUGAGUAAUGUAUGGGGACUGCCCGAUAGAGGGGGAUAACUACUGGAAACGGUGGCUAAUACCGCAUACUGUCGGAUAUCCCAUAUGGGAUUAGCUAGUAGGUUAGGUAAUGGCUUACCUAGGCGACGAUCCCUCGCUGGUCGGAGAGGAUGAUCAGCCAAACUGGAACGGCGCAACGGCCAGGCCUCCUACGGAGGAACAGGUGGGGAAUAUUGGCCAAUGGGCGCAAGCCUACUGCAGCCAUGCCGCGUGUAUGAGGAGGGCCCUGGGGUUGUAAAGUACUUUCAGUCGGGAGGCGUUACCGACAGAAGAAGCACCGGCUAACUCCGUGCCAGCAGCCGCGGUAAUUC
This 403-nucleotide ribosomal RNA is filed under the name uncultured bacterium. RNAcentral describes it as "partial 16S ribosomal RNA". It matches the Rfam family "Bacterial small subunit ribosomal RNA", at positions 30 to 526 of the family's 1533-position model. The record is from RNAcentral.